Molecule: long non-coding RNA, 911 nt
Filed under: Capsella rubella
Lineage: Eukaryota; Viridiplantae; Streptophyta; Magnoliopsida; Brassicales; Brassicaceae
Description: long non-coding RNA (CRUB_LNC002409)
Source: RNAcentral
AAAGAAGAGUGUAAUUAUUGUUCUAAACAUUAUGGGCUUCAACGAUACCCAAACACAAAACGGGCUUCAUAAGAUAAUAUAGUGAGCCCAUUAGUCAUAUAAAUUCAGUGUUUCGUAGCGAAAAUAAAAUAAAAAAAUAGAAACCUAUAUCGGAGCUUCUUCACUGACCUUGGAAGAGAACUGUGUAACAACGUCUCCAACUUAUUUCCCUCGUCUUUCCAUUUUUAUUUAUUUUUAAGUUUCAAUUUUACUUCUUCUUCUCCGAUUUUAGACAAUCGGAGCUUUUUUAAUCCUCUCUUCACUGUCUCUCAAUGAUCUAGAUAAGAUUUGAAAUUGAGGAUUUAGGGUUAUUUUAUUUGGAAGCUGCGAUCGCGAAUCCUUGCCAUGAACCCAAUUACUAAUUUUGUACAAUUUGAAUUUUCUUCUCUGUUUCUGUUUAGCAUGAAUUCAAUUUCUUGCUGUAAAGUGUAGCAGUGGGAUCUCUACUAAGCAGAGAUAUGAAAAAGGUACAUUUGUACAUUGCAUUGUUUUAAGAGGUUAAUGUGCAUUGCAUUUGUUUGCUUCAUUCUUACAUAAAAAGCAUAGCAAAAUCUGAGCCUUUAAAUCAAGCUCUAAUCAAAACUGUUUUGCCUGCUAAUUUCUAAAGCUGAAAACUUUAUGUCACUUGAAUGAGUUUUUAUAUUGGCUACAUUUUAUCUCCUUUAUCAGAUUCCCUUGACUAAGAUAGUCCAAACAUAUGCUUUAGAAUCUUGUUUGUGUUUGAUUCAUCUGGCGAGUAGAAACUUAAGCAUCGAUGUUGCAUUUUUGCCAUGUUCAGGUGACUGGAAUCAGCAUUGGUAAAGCGCAGUUAUAGUUUCAUUCAUUAACAGGCUGAAGAGUCCAUCCUCGAUUUGCACGGCAACCUCUUCCUG